Molecule: non-coding RNA, 456 nt
Organism: Catharus ustulatus (Swainson's thrush)
Lineage: Eukaryota; Metazoa; Chordata; Aves; Passeriformes; Turdidae
Source: the annotation of a RefSeq genome assembly
AUGUGGAUGCGGCAGAGCCCCGGGAAGGUGCUGGAAAAGGUCGCCUAUAUCAGCUUCAACAGUUCAGAAAUUUCCUACGCACUGUCACCUCCAGCCCCCGGGGGGUCCCUGACUCUGCUCUGCCAUGGAUCUGGGUUCGAUUUUGGGAACUACGAAAUCUACUGGAUCCGCCAGAGCCCUGGGCAGGUGCUGGAAUGGAUCGCACAGAUCAACAGCGCUGGUGACAACUCCGAGUACGCGCCGUCAGUCAAGGGUCGGUUCUCGAUCUCCAGGGACAACGGGCAGAGCUCGGUGACGCUGACCAUGAACAACCUCAAGGACGAGGAUUCCGCCGUUUACUUCUGCGCCAGAUGUUACACCAAUAACUGUGAAUGGGCGGCUUCUGCUGUUUUUGAUUUCGCACAUGGUGUCGGCUGUGGCCCAAUGCGGGAAGAGCUGGCUCACCAUAUGUCCUAA